Molecule: long non-coding RNA, 407 nt
Organism: Clupea harengus (Atlantic herring)
Lineage: Eukaryota; Metazoa; Chordata; Actinopteri; Clupeiformes; Clupeidae
Source: Ensembl
AGAGCGAAGCAGAUGAGGCUCCUGAGGUCCUACAGGAGAGACAGGAGAGAGUGGAACCAGGGACAGAGGUGGGACAAGAAGAAUCUGAGGACAGACAACAAGCAGCUGAUGUGGAGAGCACUGGACAGCAGCAGGACGGAGACUCCACAGAAAAUGGACCAAUGAGGGAGAAGAAGAGAAUGGAGAACGUUGCCCUGGUCAUCAAAAUACUGGAUGACAUAACUGACAUGGAUGAGGUCAAUGCAAUUCUGAAUGAGGCUGUAUCCAUUCUGAGACUCGCUAAAACUGCUAGUAUGACAGAACAAACUGAAAAGGAGAUGAAUCAGGAGGUGGUGGCUGCUCUUGACGACAUUUUGGACAAGGUUGACUCGGCUAUUAAUCUGCCUACCAAGGACCAUGAAAAUAAG